This 372-nucleotide ribosomal RNA is filed under the name uncultured bacterium. Its description in RNAcentral is "bacterial SSU rRNA". It matches the Rfam family "Bacterial small subunit ribosomal RNA", at positions 524 to 898 of the family's 1533-position model. The record is from RNAcentral.
UACGAAGGUGGCAAGCGUUAUUCGGAUUUACUGGGCGUACAGGGAGCGUAGGCGGUUCGGUAAGCCCUUUGUGAAAUCUCCAGGCUUAACCUGGAACAGUCGGAGGGGACUGCCGGGCUAGAGGACGGGAGAGGAGCGCGGAAUUCCCGGUGUAGCGGUGAAAUGCGUAGAGAUCGGGAGGAAGGCCGGUGGCGAAGGCGGCGCUCUGGAACGUUUCUGACGCUGAGGCUCGAAAGCGUGGGGAGCAAACAGGAUUAGAUACCCUGGUAGUCCACGCCUUAAACUAUGAAUACUAAGUGUCGGCGGGUUACCGCCGGUGCCGCAGCUAACGCAUUAAGUAUUCCGCCUGGGAAGUACGGCCGCAAGGUUGAA